CGGCCAGGCCCGCGCAUGCGCAGUUGGCCCGCAGCGAGGACCGAGGUGGUGCGCGAAGGGGAAUCUGCGUCACGAUUUCUGCUCUUUUGCCUGCGAUUUUCCGAGGGUACCAAGGCGCAUUUUGAGUCGGAAAGGAGGUAAAGAAGAAUGAGUCGAUCACCACAACACGCUGUGGCCAAUGGGGCUUCACCAGUCCGUGAAAGGUCAAGAGACCCUUCAUUUUCACGCUCAAGAUCACGCUCUAGAGAUCGCCGUGAAACCUACAAACACUCCUCUAGAAGUUCUGGCUCCCCACGAUACCGUGAGGACCGCUAUCGAGAUGAAAAAUAUUCAUCAUCACGCCGUAGAGAUUCUCGUUCCCCAUCCCCAUCGUACUCCAGAAACAGAAGGAGUAACAGGUCACCAAUGUCGAAUCGGCGCCGUCAUCAUGGUAGCAGAGAGGAUCCAUCCCCAAGCAACUGCCUCGGGAUCUUUGGACUCUCUCUUUACACAACUGAGAGACAGCUUCAUCACCUCUUCGGCAAAUAUGGACCUAUCAACGAAGUUCAGGUUGUACUAGAUGCUAAAACUGGUCGAUCAAGAGGAUUUGCAUUCAUCUACUUUGAUCAUGUGGAUGAUGCCACAGAGGCCAAGGAGCAGUGCACUGGGAUGGAGAUUGAUGGAAGGCGGAUCAGAGUAGAUUAUUCCAUCACGGAGAGAGCCCACACACCCACACCAGGCAUAUACAUGGGACGACCAACUUAUUCUAACAAUGGUCGUCGAGGUGGUGGUGGAGGUGGAGGAGGUCGCCACAGAGGUGGGUACGGAGGAGGAGGAGGAGGAGGUGGUGGUGGCAGUCGCAGUCGCCGGUCUCCUCCACGCCGAUCAUACCGCUCACGCUCUCGGUCGUACUCACCACGCUUGAAGAAUGGAAGUAUUGGUGAAUAUUGGAAGAUAAGAAAAUCUUAAUGAGUCGGAAGAUUAGAAGCACUGGCCGGGUUUCUUUGGGGAACAUUGGAGAAGAACUGUUGGCGAAGACAGAACAGGCUGACAAUAUUCACCACUGUUGUAAUAAGCAAGAAAUGGAAUGUUUCCAAGCAUAUGAAGAUCUCACACUAGAAUUUUGUGAAGCUUCAAGGGAAAUUGGAGAAGUAAUGAAGAUGGCAGUUGGUUUGAAGAAGGAAAUAAGGCGGGUAAAAGGGUAACAGCAGAAAAAACAAGGGAAAGCAGUAAGGAAGGGAAGUUAAGUUGAAGCAAAGUCGCAAAAAACUGGGUCAAGACGAAGGAAUGCAAGAGUUUUCUCAGGUCAAAAGGGCGUAUGGUCAACCCGAGUCUUCCUUGUUGAACACCACAUCAUCAUCCUCAUCCUCACAGGGGAAGUGUCAGUACUGCCAUGAGACUUGUUUUAACCAUUGGGAAGGUGUUAGGAAUAUCCAGGUCUGUCAUUAUUGAAAGCAAGCAAAGUAAAUUUUAUAAUAGUGUGGGAGGGAAUCGCUCAUUGGACAUACAUCAUUUUCUGAAUGAACAAAAUUCUGCAGCUUCUUAAAUGCCAGGUAAGUAGUGCUCGAUUUAUUCCUUUUUGAUGCUAAAGCUGCUUUAGAUUUAAUCUUUGUUUAGAUGAACGAAGAUCUUCUUUUCCCUUUUCCUUUUCUUUUUCUUCUAGAAAUUGGAUUUUUAGUUGUAGAGUCAUUAUGUCUAAUAUGAAAUACAAUUAGAAUUGUUUUGCUUGUCAAAAGAUAAUUGUUUGCUAAUAUUGUUUGAUAAUGCACCUCCCAAGCAGUUCUAAUCUUGAUUAGGUUAAAUUCUUGACUUGCAUGACCUAUUGAGUUCUACAGUUCAUAUGCAGUGGUAGUUUACGGAAAUCCUUAAAUUACAUUAGCUUUUUUGACAACUGAUUGUUUUAGAUAUCACAAGACCUUCUAAGGGUGUGAAAGUGACCACAAUAACGAUACUUCAUAUUAUUUUUAUUGACUUCAUUUCUGCCAGAACAUAAAAAUCAGAUGCAAGUACAUAUAGGAGUGAAUAAUACCACAAGUUGCAUUUCAGGUCAACUAAAAAAAAAGAAGAAAAAAAGACGUUGUUACUUAUCAAUAAAGCUUGUGUGAAUUGA
RNAcentral lists this unclassified non-coding RNA (2089 nucleotides) under Penaeus japonicus. Its description in RNAcentral is "transformer-2 protein homolog alpha-like, transcript variant X3". The record is from RNAcentral. Lineage: Eukaryota; Metazoa; Arthropoda; Malacostraca; Decapoda; Penaeidae.